UUCAAAAGAAACAACUAAUCAGUUGCUUGCAUUUUCUGUUGUACUGUUACUCAGAUUCGUUGAUGAAGGUCUACUAUCAGUUUUUAAGGUGCUGAGCUGUGAGGAGAGUAUCAGGGUUUAGGCUCUGCUGCCUUUCCCCGAAGAACUCACUUGGGAAGCAGUCAGCGAGGCUGUUGGAAGAUAAAAGGGGAAGGAGGAAUUUCUGGGCCUUGGUGGCUGUGAGGACCUGCAAGUGAUGCUGAAAGAGAUCUUCCAGCUGGCCUGGGGCCCUGGUGGAGACUGAAUAUGGAACGAGAGGCAGGUUUUGUGGGUAGACAAUGGCGUCCAUGAGAACUACUGAGUAGAUAGGAAGAAAGAUGGGUCUGAAGCUUAGGAGAGAAGUGGGGAUG
Molecule: long non-coding RNA, 389 nt
Organism: Cercocebus atys (sooty mangabey)
Lineage: Eukaryota; Metazoa; Chordata; Mammalia; Primates; Cercopithecidae
Exons: 3
Source: RefSeq, a predicted model, not a curated record